Molecule: long non-coding RNA, 1066 nt
Filed under: Olea europaea (common olive)
Lineage: Eukaryota; Viridiplantae; Streptophyta; Magnoliopsida; Lamiales; Oleaceae
Description: long non-coding RNA (OEUR_LNC004756)
Source: RNAcentral
AGUGAGCAUGAUUCCACCAAUGCUUAACAACAUCUUUUCCGUGUCUGUGGUUAAUUGAACUUUUUUGUUAUGUCUCGAGUUUAUGAUCAUUGAACACCUCCCCCUCCGUCCUUCCUGGGAAAAAAAAAGAACAAAGAAAAAAGAAAAAAGAAAGUAUGGUUGGUUGUGCAUUUAAGCGAUUAUAUAAGCUAUGACUACUAGGGAAUGUGUGGGUGAUAAGUGAUCAGUAGUUGUGGGUCCUACGAAAUAUGUGGAUAAGAAGUAUAUUUGACCAUUUUAAAUUAUAUUUAAGCUUUACCAAACAUACAUUUGGCUUUCAGGCAGUGGUUUUUCAUGGUGUCUAAAGAAUGACCCUUUUUUUCUGCUGCUGUUGACGGAAUAAGUUUGUUCCUCUGUCCCUACAUCUGACUUAAGCGUUACAAAUUUGCCCAUUUUGGUGAAAGAAAUUAGCUGGGAAAGAUCUCCAUAUUAACGAGCCCCGCUCCCAAAGAGGGAAAAAAAAAAAUGUAAGAAAAACUCAACGAAGAUAUUUAGCCCACAAGACCACUGCAAUAUGGGAACACUGAUGUUGCAGAUAUGGGAAAGUUUACCCUGCACGAACUUUCCUUGAAUUUGGUACAUAUUUGAUGUUCUUGUCUUUACACUAGUAAAGCUUUUGGAUGUGAGCUUAUGGGACAAUGGGAUGGAUACCUUUUAACUAGUCUUAGAGCAUUUUUAGCCAAGUUUAAGUAAAGGCUUACUUUUAAAAGAGCAAGUCUUUGAACUACAAUACCACAAAAAACUAAACUGAAGACUUGUUUUGAUGGGCAAAGAAUGAAGAAAUGCCUUGGAGAGGGGUAUGAACGGUGGAAUUCCAUUUGGCUUUAACCUUAAUUUCCAAUAAAAGAGGCCUUAAAAUUUUAUUUGGAGGUGCUUAUAAGCACUGUAAUGGAUUAUAUCUUAGAAGUUAUUUUGAAGUGCUAGACAAUUCUUAAACAUGGCUUGUAAGGAAUUGUUCGGUUAAGCUUAGAAGUAAUUACUUCCAAGUCAUUUGAAAGUGUGACAAAUCUAAAAUUGCUUGUAAGGG